Corvus hawaiiensis (hawaiian crow) is the source of this 231-nucleotide long non-coding RNA. RefSeq lists it as uncharacterized. NCBI's taxonomy places the organism in Eukaryota, Metazoa, Chordata, Aves, Passeriformes, Corvidae. The transcript is spliced from 3 exons. The record is from RefSeq and is a predicted model, not a curated record.
CGGCGUGCCAAGCUUGUACCUUUUCACUUUGCAGGUCUUCUCCAGGCCACCUCCAGAGUCGGAUGAUUUGAGGUACCAUGAGCCGGUGUGGAGCCAAGUUUGGAAACAGUGUAAGAGACAGUCCAAAGAUCCCUCAUCUGCCUCAGGAUCAUUGCCGAGGACAGAGACUGAGCACAGGAGUCCUGGCCUGGCUGAGGUGGGAAGGACUGCGCUGAAGGGGAAAGGAAUGAC